RNAcentral lists this long non-coding RNA (2752 nucleotides) under Pogona vitticeps (central bearded dragon). RNAcentral describes it as "lncRNA (ENSPVIG00000017969.1)". The record is from RNAcentral. Lineage: Eukaryota; Metazoa; Chordata; Lepidosauria; Squamata; Agamidae.
AUGGGUUCAGGGAUCCCCUAUAGGCGUCUCCCCACAUCUGUGUGGGACAGAGUAGAGGAGAAGAUGCCCAGCCUAUACCAAACUCUUUCAAACGUAUAUAAGACGUGGGGGAAGAAGCAUGUUUGGUGCGGUGGAAUCAUCGCCACCCUCUUCAUCUUCUUGAUCGUGUCUCUAAGUUGGCAGAAGCCAGAGGUUCGCCCCGAGCCAGACGAUACCCUUUCCGAAAGAUGUGCACAGCUACAAAGAGAAGUCUCCGGUCUGCAGGCCAUGCUCAAAAAGCACACGGAAGCCGCGGAGAGGGAGAAGGCAACGCUGAAAAGCGCCCUUUCCAGGAACCGGGAGCUGUUGCAGAAGGAGAAGGCAGACGGCGAAGCCCUCCGUGCUCGGCUGGUCCACUCAAACCAGACCGAGAAGCUCUUGGAGAAGACCAAGGAGGAAGGGGUCCAGAUGCAGGCUCAGCUGGAAGCUGCCCACCAGGCCCUCAGCGAAACCCGGCAGCUACGGGAUGCCUGCCAGGACCAGCUGGCAGGAAUCACAGCCCAAACAGCAGACAUGCAACAACAUGAGGAAGAAAAGAAGAAUCUCCAGGGUGAGAGUAAGGGAAGGUGGGACUGGGGGGUGCGCAUGUUGUGUUGCACACAGAGAGAGGGGUGGAGUGGAGGACCCUACGGAGCACAAGAUCUCCCUCCCCCACAAGUGGAUCCAGCUAACCUGGCCCAUUACAGCUGUUCCUGGGAUCGGGCGAUCAGGGUGUCUGAUUCCCUGCUGGUCAGGGCCGGCUUACCUGCUGGUAGUUGGGAUGGAAGGAUGCCAGGCAGCCCACCCCCCCCUCCCGACAGGGUAGACCCCCAUCAAGCACUGCAGCGUUCCAGGAACAAAGGGGUUAAGUUCUGAAGACCCUUCAAAACAACCCAGCCAGCUCUUUUCCAAACUGCAGGAAGUGAGGAAAGUGUGGGCUGUGACAAUCCUUCAAGAUCAGCCCUUAAGGAAUUCCUUCUUCUAUUGAUGAGCCUGUUCUCUGCUGCCCUCCAGGGGCUGACCCCUGGUACCGCAGCCUAGGGAUUGCCAAAGGGAUUGCAAAGCGCCAGGGUGGUGGGAUAAUAAGGGGAAAACGGGCAGGUCUGAAGCCGAGGAUGGGAAGGGGUGGGUGCCCUGAUUUAAAGAACAGCUCCGUGAAACGCUUCCAAGGAAAUCUGAUGGGUGCUUUUCCUUCUUCUUCUUCUUUUUAAAGAGGAAAUUGAACACCUUCGACAGCAGGUGUCCAGGAUGGCCGAUGAGCUGCGGGACAUCUGGACAAAGAAGUAAGAAAAGCACCAUCCGUGGACUUUUUGUGUGUGUGUGGUCUCCCCCCCCCCCAUUUUAAUGGUCAGAAUCGUUUGGAGUUGUGCUUUUAGAAUUUCCUUUUUUCAGAAACUCCCACCCAUCUCGGACUCCUUUUCCACCGAGGGUUUCCUGCCAUGGGACCUUACCUACCCUAGUUCCAAGUUUAUUAAAACUGGCUUUCCUAAAGUCCAGAAUGUAGAACCUGGUCACUUUCUCCUCCCCCCUCCUCCUCCUCCCGAGAGUUUCCUCUUGCUGCCACUUCUCCCACCAAAAAGUCCUCUCCGUUGGUUGGGAUCAAGUCCAGGAUAAUAGCAACUCCUCUGGUUUCUCCCACUUUUUGUAGGAGAAUUUCUUGGAAAGGCCGUACGGUGGCAGAAUUGGCCUCCCAACGAACGGAGAACAGGAUCGGCAGCUGGUAGAAGACAGGAGGACCCCUUCAUGGGUUCCAAAGGCCCCCCCCCCAUGCUGAAAAACACAGAUUUAGAGCAAAUACUAUUAUAAUAGUGAAUGCCAUACAUAACAGGGUCUCUGGUGCCCUCUUGUGACCAGUUCUGGUAACUUCACCUUUAGAAACCUCUAUUUCUGGGAUUUUUCUCUUAAUAUUUUUAGACUGUGGAUAAGUGAAUCAGUGGAUACCGAUCCCGUGGAAAAGGGAAUCUUCCUGUAGAACAGAUUAUAAGCAGCUGGCGUCAGAGGCUCUGUUCUGUUUCCCAGGUGGUGGCGGGGGGGGGGAAGGGUCAGGACAGAGCCGGCCAUUUCCCCCACAUUGCUUAACUUGUUUGUGGUCUUCUCAGAGCAAACCGCGAGGAGAGAAUCCAGCAUUUGGAGGAGCAGCUCAGUCGGCAGCAGAGGUCCACUGAGAAGAGCGAGGAGAUCCCGCCCAUCGUCCUUUUCCUGUCUGGUUUUGUUGUGUGUGCUAUAUGCAAGUGUUUUUGUGCUGGAAACAACUAACUGCCCCCAGGCCCCCCCAGGAGGAAACACCUGGGUGAGGAGCAGGUGAACUGGGAAACCAUUCAUAAAUUCACCCUGCUCCCAAAUUGUUAGUUAUUUGGUUUAUUGUUUUCUUAUUUAAUUUAUUAAUGGGUCACACCCAUUAAUAAUUUCUUUCCUUAAUUUAUUAUUAUUAGUAAACAUUAUUUUAUUAAUUUAUUAUUAAUGAAUUUUAGGUGAUGAGCCAUUUUCCUCACUUUUCUCUAGGUAAAUUAAUAUCGGAUCUUUACUUAAGGGAAUGUACCGGCACACUGUUUUCUUCGCUAUGGCUAUUUCAUAGAGAAGUGAACUUAAUAUUUAAUUUUAAUAUUUGCAACUUUUUUAAAAAAUUCAAUUCCAUUGUUUUUUUCACUGCAUUUUUAAGCCACCUUGGGUCCCAUUUCUGGGAGAAAUGCAUCAUGUAAAUAAAAUAAAAUAAGGGGUGGUAUCCUCCUUGUGG